UGUUCUGUGGCUUAGUUGAUUAAAGCGCUGGACUAGCGUUAUGGAGUCGUGGGUUCGAAUCCCAUCAAAACCA
Molecule: non-coding RNA, 73 nt
Organism: Aedes albopictus (Asian tiger mosquito)
Lineage: Eukaryota; Metazoa; Arthropoda; Insecta; Diptera; Culicidae
Source: Rfam